This 769-nucleotide ribosomal RNA is filed under the name uncultured prokaryote. RNAcentral's name for it is "bacterial SSU rRNA". It matches the Rfam family "Bacterial small subunit ribosomal RNA", at positions 28 to 815 of the family's 1533-position model. The record is from RNAcentral.
GAUGAACGCUGACAGAAUGCUUAACACAUGCAAGUCGAUUCGAUUUACCUUCGGGUAUUGAGGAUGGCGGACGGGUGAGUAACGCGUAAGGAACUUGCCUCUUGGUCUGGGACAACUGUUGGAAACGACAGCUAAUACCGGAUAUUAUGAGAUUCUCGCAUGGGAAACUUAUGAAAGCUAUAUGCGCCAAGAGAGAGCCUUGCGUUCCAUUAGCUAGUUGGUGGGGUAACGGCCCACCAAGGCGACGAUGGAUAGCCGGCCUGAGAGGGUGAACGGCCACAAGGGGACUGAGACACGGCCCUUACUCCUACGGGAGGCAGCAGUGGGGAAUAUUGGACAAUGGGCCACAAGCCUGAUCCAGCAAUUCUGUGUGCACGAUGAAGGUCUUCGGAUUGUAAAGUGCUUUCAGUUGGGAAGAAGAAAGUGACGGUACCAACAGAAGAAGCGACGGCUAAAUACGUGCCAGCAGCCGCGGUAAUACGUAUGUCGCAAGCGUUAUCCGGAUUUAUUGGGCGUAAAGCGCGUCUAGGCGGAAAAAUAAGUCUGAUGUUAAAAUGCGGGGCUCAACUCCGUAUUGCGUUGGAAACUGUUUUUCUAGAGUACUGGAGAGGUGGGCGGAACUACNAGUGUAGAGGUGAAAUUCNUAGAUAUUUGUAGGAAUGCCGAUGGAGAAGUCAGCUCACUGGACAGAUACUGACGCUAAAGCGCGAAAGCGUGGGGAGCAAACAGGAUUAGAUACCCUGGUAGUCCACGCCGUAAACNAUGAUCA